RNAcentral lists this ribosomal RNA (250 nucleotides) under uncultured Chroococcidiopsis sp. RNAcentral describes it as "partial 16S ribosomal RNA". It matches the Rfam family "Bacterial small subunit ribosomal RNA", at positions 796 to 1044 of the family's 1533-position model. Lineage: Bacteria; Bacillati; Cyanobacteriota; Cyanophyceae; Chroococcidiopsidales; Chroococcidiopsidaceae. The record is from RNAcentral.
CUAGCUGUAAACGAUGGAUACUAGGCGUUGAGAGUAUCGACCCUCUCAGUGUCGUAGCUAACGCGUUAAGUAUCCCGCCUGGGGAGUACGCGCGCAAGCGUGAAACUCAAAGGAAUUGACGGGGGCCCGCACAAGCGGUGGAGUAUGUGGUUUAAUUCGAUGCAACGCGAAGAACCUUACCAGGGCUUGACAUGUCCGGAACCCUGCCCAAAGGUGGGGGUGCCUACGGGAACCGGAACACAGGUGGUGC